RNAcentral lists this ribosomal RNA (434 nucleotides) under Escherichia coli. RNAcentral describes it as "bacterial SSU rRNA". It matches the Rfam family "Bacterial small subunit ribosomal RNA", at positions 14 to 444 of the family's 1533-position model. Lineage: Bacteria; Pseudomonadati; Pseudomonadota; Gammaproteobacteria; Enterobacterales; Enterobacteriaceae. The record is from RNAcentral.
UGAUCAUGGCUCAGAUUGAACGCUGGCGGCAGGCCUAACACAUGCAAGUCGAACGGUAACAGAAAGCAGCUUGCUGCUUUGCUGACGAGUGGCGGACGGGUGAGUAAUGUCUGGGAAACUGCCUGAUGGAGGGGGAUAACUACUGGAAACGGUAGCUAAUACCGCAUAACGUCGCAAGACCAAAGAGGGGGACCUUCGGGCCUCUUGCCAUCGGAUGUGCCCAGAUGGGAUUAGCUAGUAGGUGGGGUAACGGCUCACCUAGGCGACGAUCCCUAGCUGGUCUGAGAGGAUGACCAGCCACACUGGAACUGAGACACGGUCCAGACUCCUACGGGAGGCAGCAGUGGGGAAUAUUGCACAAUGGGCGCAAGCCUGAUGCAGCCAUGCCGCGUGUAUGAAGAAGGCCUUCGGGUUGUAAAGUACUUUCAGCGGGG